Molecule: long non-coding RNA, 451 nt
Organism: Silurus meridionalis
Lineage: Eukaryota; Metazoa; Chordata; Actinopteri; Siluriformes; Siluridae
Exons: 3
Source: RefSeq, a predicted model, not a curated record
AGUGCCUGGGUACGGGAAAGGAAAAUGAAAAACUCUGACUUAAGCCCUAUUUGCAUUGGAUUAGUUUUACAUGGAGAUGUGAAAUAAUAUAAAUACUUGUGCAGUAUCUUGGAUUUUUGGUCCUGUCUGAACACCUUAUAAAGACACUCCUGAAACCAUUCCUUUAUUUAACAUCAACAACACCUCUCGGGGUUUUCGGGUAGAUGUUAUGGGGUUAAAAUUAGGGCUGCAACAACUAAUCCAUAACAAUAAUCGAUAAUGAAAUUUGUUGUUAACAAAUGCCGUUAUCGAUUAGUUGGGCCGCUCACGUUUCGGGUUUGCGCGAUAACAAGAGAACACAGCCGCUUGCGAAAUGGUGGAGAGUUCAGGGUCACAUCAGCACGAAAGAAACAAGCCAGCAUGACUGAAUUUGUUUAAAGGAGAAAAACCCAUGCGUCCUCAACAAUCAGCC